Molecule: non-coding RNA, 114 nt
Organism: Pelobates cultripes (western spadefoot toad)
Lineage: Eukaryota; Metazoa; Chordata; Amphibia; Anura; Pelobatidae
Source: the annotation of a GenBank genome assembly
CAGUGACAGUUAGGGAGGGAGUGACUAGUGACAGAGAGAGGGAUGGGGUGACUAGUGACAGUCACCCCCUCCCUCACUCUGUCACUAGUCACUCCCUCUGUCACUAGUCACCCC